Triticum dicoccoides is the source of this 1967-nucleotide long non-coding RNA. RefSeq lists it as uncharacterized. The transcript has 8 exons. The record is from RefSeq and is a predicted model, not a curated record. NCBI's taxonomy places the organism in Eukaryota, Viridiplantae, Streptophyta, Magnoliopsida, Poales, Poaceae.
CAAGUCUUUCUGCUUUAUAUAAGUUCCAGUUGGUCCACUUGGCAGCGUUAGACUGGCCUUGUACGCUGCUCGUUUUCUUCGUCGCUAAGAGAGGAAGAGAGAGAGAGAGAGACGUCCCUCUCCCCAGAUUCACCACGCGUGCCGUCCCCAUCCUCUCUUGCCUCCUUCCUCUCGGUUCGUCGUUUCAGUGUCGGUGGCUCUCGUCGAUUAGCACGGCGGCGCCGAAGUUGAGGGCUUCAUGGGCGAUAUCAAGGCGGAGGAAGAUGGGUGGUGGGAUGGAUCUGGUCGCCGUGGUGUCGGAGCUCGGCGAGGGGAGGAGUUCGACCCUGGCCCCUCACAGCCUCGCUACCUGCCUCCUCUUCAUCUCUUCUCCCUCGUGCUCCUCGUAAUCUCAAUCUCCAUCUUCGUCGGUAUGCAUCGUCCUCCUCAUCUGCCACUCAUCCACCAUGCCCAAGGCUAGCAGGAAGAGGCCGACCAAUGGUGCAAGCGGCCAUGACAACUCAAGAGACGCCGCACCUGCCCCCUGCCUGCUUUACAGGCACCAUCUCUCUCUAUCUCUCAUUCUCUCUUUUUCUAGAUUUUCUCAUAUUUGUUUCUGUGCCUGCAAGGUGUUCGAUGUAAUGUGGUCAAUGUAUAGCGAUUUGUAUGUUUUCUUGUUUAUCUUCAGAUGGGGCAAUACUUUCAAUCAAGCUGGCUACUUAUAGACGUCAUCUAGGUUCCAAUUCUGUGGUCAUUUCUUUUACACAUAAUGGACACUUCUUGGGAAUAUGAUGCAGCCAAUUCUAUUUGUUUAAGCCCAGUUGCUUCAUUCACUUUAGGCUGAUUGUGAUGACACGAGUUCGCAACCAUUGACCUCCCUUCAACGGAACAAGGGAUCGGAAUUCUCGCGCAUGAUUAAAGAGGCGAAGCAUCUUGGCUUGGCCGGCAUGCCUUGCUUGGAUGGCGUCGAGGAAGCAGAAGCACAGUGUGCAUUGCUUGAUUUAAACUCAUUGUGCGAAGGCUGUUUUACAUCAGAUUCAGAUGCUUUUCUUUUUGGAUCAAGGACAGUUUACAGAGAAGUCUUCAUAGGGGACGGUGGUUAUGUCAUUUGCUACGAAAUGGAGGACAUAGAGAAGAAGCUUGGUUUUGGCAGGAAAUCACUGAAACAGUUCCUCGCGACCACAGUAAAAAUCAUGACGUGGCAUCGCUCCUUGCUCAACCCAGCGUUUCGCUCUUGAGAAUUUUAAUACUACGUAGGAGGACAUAGCUGCAUCAGUCUGAUUAGCAGGAAGAUGGUGAGGGCCCUUGGAAAGUACCCGUUUUUGGAACGUCCAGUGCUGCAAAUUCUAAGCAAGGCCGGCCCUGGCGUAUGGCCAGAGGGACGACGGCCUAGGGCCCAGCCCUGGAGGGGGCCAUGAUCUGGUAUCGAAUAGAGAAAAUGGAAGAAAGGAACAACAUGAUGGGCUGGCCCAAUUGAUCGUUAGCGCUAGGAAAUUAGCGUGGCACUCGCACGACGGCCGCAUCUCGCACGGGUCCAUCCUGAUCGCUUCUUCCUCUCAAUCACAACUCUCUCUAACCUAUUCCUGCCACCGCUCAGCCUGCCGCAAGCCGCCGCAGCCGGCAGACAGUUCUCUACUGUGCUGUCAUCGCCCAGCGCCCCCGGUCUCCACUCUCCAGACGCUGCUGAGCACGGCGCACACCUACAUCGAUUUCCAGAUCCCACAGGAAGUCUGCAUCGUACCAUCGUCGAGUGUCAGACACUAAUGGUGAUCCGAUCAAUCGCAGAUUAAUAUCAGUGCUUAACGAAUGAACCUACAUGGUGAGUCGAUAAUAGUUGUCAUGGACGAGUAGAACCAAGGAAGAAAUUAUUGGACGGAAUUGACAACGCCUCCAUCAAAAGUAACUAUGCACGGAUGGGUGCUAGAAGAAUUUUUAAAGGAGGUAGUUGAACCGAAAAUUCCAACCGACCCUAUUGUCGAGAGGUUAAA